GAUGAACGCUAGCGGGAGGCCUAACACAUGCAAGCCGAGCGGUAGAGAUCUUUCGGGAUCUUGAGAGCGGCGUACGGGUGCGGAACACGUGUGCAACCUGCCUUUAUCUGGGGGAUAGCCUUUCGAAAGGAAGAUUAAUACCCCAUAAUAUGUUGGAUGGCAUCAUUCGACAUUGAAAACUCCGGUGGAUAGAGAUGGGCACGCGCAAGAUUAGAUAGUUGGUGAGGUAACGGCUCACCAAGUCUGCGAUCUUUAGGGGGCCUGAGAGGGUGAUCCCCCACACUGGUACUGAGACACGGACCAGACUCCUACGGGAGGCAGCAGUGAGGAAUAUUGGACAAUGGGUGAGAGCCUGAUCCAGCCAUCCCGCGUGAAGGACGACGGCCCUAUGGGUUGUAAACUUCUUUUGUAUAGGGAUAAACCUACUCUCGUGAGAGUAGCUGAAGGUACUAUACGAAUAAGCACCGGCUAACUCCGUGCCAGCAGCCGCGGUAAUACGGAGGGUGCAAGCGUUAUCCGGAUUUAUUGGGUUUAAAGGGUCCGUAGGCGGAUCUGUAAGUCAGUGGUGAAAUCUCACAGCUUAACUGUGAAACUGCCAUUGAUACUGCAGGUCUUGAGUGUUGUUGAAGUAGCUGGAAUAAGUAGUGUAGCGGUGAAAUGCAUAGAUAUUACUUAGAACACCAAUUGCGAAGGCAGGUUACUAAGCAACAACUGACGCUGA
Molecule: ribosomal RNA, 721 nt
Filed under: Chryseobacterium indologenes
Lineage: Bacteria; Pseudomonadati; Bacteroidota; Flavobacteriia; Flavobacteriales; Weeksellaceae
Description: bacterial SSU rRNA
Rfam family: Bacterial small subunit ribosomal RNA
Source: RNAcentral